Solanum dulcamara is the source of this 945-nucleotide RNA transcript. RefSeq lists it as uncharacterized. The record is from RefSeq and is a predicted model, not a curated record. The transcript has 3 exons. Lineage: Eukaryota; Viridiplantae; Streptophyta; Magnoliopsida; Solanales; Solanaceae.
CAAUUUCAGUCAAACUUUUUACUAAUCAAAUAAAUAAAUCCCCUUUACUCCCAUAGAAAAAAUAAAAAAUAAAUUCAUCCAUUCGCGAAGCUCAAAAAAAUGGCGAGAACCCUAGUAAUCUUCACCAUUGUUUCUCUCUUGUUCACCAUCUCUGUAUCCUCUACAAACCCGGAUCCGAACCCGAACCCGAACCCGAAUCCGGCACCAUCGGAGGUACACAAGGAGCUAAUCAGAUUCGGGUUCCCUAUAGGUUUACUUCCGAAGAACGUAAAUGGGUAUUCUCUAAACUCCAGUUCCGGCGAGUUCCUGAUUUCUCUGGGUGAAAAGUGUAGAAUCACUCUUCCUCCAGAUAACUACCUUGCGACGUAUUCGAAGAAAAUUAGAGGAAAAAUUGUUGAGAAUCGUAUUGCGGAGCUUGAUGGGAUUAGCGUUAGGGCUUUUUUUAAGUGGUGGGGUAUUACAGGUAUCAGAUCUAGUGGUGAGAAUUUGGUUUUUGAAGUUGGAAUGGUUACUGCUAAAUACCCUUCUAAGAAUUUCAAUGAAAGCCCUUAUUGUGACGGGAAAAAGCAUUCCUCUUCCUGAGGGUCUGGUGAGAUGCUGAGAGAUCUUCCUUGUGAAAGACCUCAUGGAAAUGUAUUAAAGAAUACUAUCUUCGUUAAUGUUACUCUCUUAGAGGGUUCUUGUUAGCUGCUUCUACUUUAAUGGCUUAUGAAAUAAGCCCAACACUAUUGGGCAUGAUGGUGCUUGAUAAAAAUUAAAGAUCUCUUACCACAUUACCUUAUCCGAUCGAUCGACGAUUUAGUGAAUUGUGCAAGCAGUUGCUAGAUGUACUGUAUAUAUAUGCUCUUAUGCUAUCUGGAAUGUUUAUUAAUGGCUAAUAGAGAUUGCUGAAUCUUUUUACUCUAUAUUGUAUAUUUCCUGCUGCUGUGGGUGUCUUUUUCCUAA